UGAGGAAUAUUGGGCAAUGCCCGCAAGGGUGACCCAGCAACGCCGCGUGGAGGAUGAAUGUCGUAAGAUUGUAAACUCCUGUUGGAGGGGAAGAAUAGUACCGGUUGGACCGGUAUAUGACUGUACCCUCAGAGAAAGCCCCGGCUAACUACGUGCCAGCAGCCGCGGUAAUACGUAGGGGGCAAGCGUUGUCCGGAUUUACUGGGUGUAAAGGGCGCGCAGGCGGGAUAAAAAGUCAGUGGUGAAAUCCUACAGCUUAACUGUAGAACUGCCUUAGAUACUUUUAUUCUUGAGUUCGGGAGAGAGAGACGGAAUUCCAGGUGUAGUGGUGAAAUACGUAGAUAUCUGGAAGAACACCAGUUGCGAAGGCGGUCUCUUGGUCCGACACUGACGCUGAGGCGCGAAAGCGUGGGGAGCAAACA
Molecule: ribosomal RNA, 422 nt
Filed under: uncultured bacterium
Lineage: Bacteria
Description: bacterial SSU rRNA
Rfam family: Bacterial small subunit ribosomal RNA
Source: RNAcentral